AGUCCAAUUAAUGACCCCUUUCCCAUUUAUCUCGGCUGAUUCUCUCUCUCCCCUUUUUUUCUUUUCUUCUUCCAUUCUAAAAUUUCCGAAAUUGAAGUCGCAGAGGCUGCGACGCCUCACCUCCCUCCUUUCCCUUCUUUCUCCGGCGAGUUCGCUAUACAUCGCUAUGCUUGAAGCCUAUACAUCGCUAUGCUUGAACCACUAUAUGUGAGCAUGUUCUACUUGUCAUUCUUUCUCGGCCGUGGCUACGGUAAUUGAGUGAUGGUCCUAUUUCUAUAUCCUCUAAGUUCUUGCUAUCAUGAUGCAAAAGGGUAUGGGGUGUUGAGGGAAUUACCUUGCUUGGUGAUUCCUUUCGGUUGUGGGCUGCUUCUAUCUUGCCGCCGCCGCCUCGCUCGUUCCCUUUGCGUGGUGAAGCUUGGGUGAUGAAAAUGGUGAAGGGGAAUGGGGGUGGCGAGGGGCUGCUUAUAUAGCUCACACCAAUUGGCAUCUUGUGCCAGACUCUUGGGGAAUUGUGAUGCUAAUCUGGGGUUGUUUUCUCAGCUCCUUUCCAAGCUUAUGUUACUGUUACUCAUACCAAAUUGAUGAAGGUUUGGGUCUGCAUUCUUGGCAGUUUUCCCCAGCCUUGGUGACUGAAUAAGGGAUUUGAUUCCUGCUCAUUUUGAGCAUGAUCAUUGGGUUAGGGGCUGUCCCUUUCAGAGUUUCAUGGGGCCGAAUUUCGAGAAGGAAAGAGAUGGAGGAAGGGAAGAGAAUCUACCCUUGUACCACUUUGAUUCCUAUACCAAUUUAGGAUACUCUCUGGAAUUCUAUUACUAGAGGUAGAAGAAGGGAUGAUGUAAUGUGGAUAUGUGUAGUCUCUUUCACUUAUGUAUCAUGCACUAUUAAUGUCUUCACAAUUUUAUGAAAUUGUAUCUCAAAUUGUUCC
Salvia splendens (bonfire salvia) is the source of this 922-nucleotide long non-coding RNA. RefSeq lists it as uncharacterized. NCBI's taxonomy places the organism in Eukaryota, Viridiplantae, Streptophyta, Magnoliopsida, Lamiales, Lamiaceae. The record is from RefSeq and is a predicted model, not a curated record. The transcript has 2 exons.